GAUGGCAGUGCAAAAGAAGAAUGUGACCGGAAGCCAGUAAACGAGCAUAAAACCGAGUUGCCGAAAAUAUUGCGUUCAUUUUCAUUCGACUCUCCGACGUACGAGAUCACCACUUGAGAUCCUUAUGGCAUCAUCCAUGUGUGGACCCAGCAGGGUUGGGCAUCUCGGUGGCCUCUCGGGGCUUCACAAAGCUGGUUGUCAAGAAAUGGAGGUUCACAGGUGAUUGGUCAGACUAAGAAUGAUUUUGGAACAUUCUUGUGGACCAGAACCUGCCCACUGGAGUGCACACGCCCCGCCCCCCCUACUGCGGUGCACACGUCCCCCCCCUGCAGAUGCAGGUCUGGUGGUCGGACAAGUUGCUAGUGGUCAGGCCCACGUGAUGGGUACGACAUGAGCCGGGUGCUGGACAUUGCGAGGAUAAGAUGGCGGAUACAAGCAGCAGAAAUGAUUGGCCAACACCUUCCCAGUAGUGGAAAUGGAUGCAGUCCCCCCCCAUGUUGUCUAAGAUGGGCAUGAUUUUAUUGUAAUUUUUUUUUUUUUAAUGAAUUAAAUUAGUUUAAUGUUACAGUUUUGACUUAAGUUAUUGAAUUAAAUUUUUUAUUUUAUACUUCCUAUUUAAGUUGGUAAUAAAAUUAAUUCACUGUCUAAA
Long non-coding RNA from Syngnathus acus (greater pipefish), 649 nucleotides. RefSeq lists it as uncharacterized. The record is from RefSeq and is a predicted model, not a curated record. NCBI's taxonomy places the organism in Eukaryota, Metazoa, Chordata, Actinopteri, Syngnathiformes, Syngnathidae. The transcript is spliced from 3 exons.